GGAUAGCUCAGUUGGUUAGAGCAGGGUGUUGAUAAUGCCAAGGUCAUGGGUUCAAUCCCUGUAUGGGACA
Non-coding RNA from Podarcis lilfordi (Lilford's wall lizard), 70 nucleotides. The record is from the annotation of a GenBank genome assembly. Lineage: Eukaryota; Metazoa; Chordata; Lepidosauria; Squamata; Lacertidae.